RNAcentral lists this ribosomal RNA (253 nucleotides) under uncultured bacterium. RNAcentral's name for it is "partial 16S ribosomal RNA". It matches the Rfam family "Bacterial small subunit ribosomal RNA", at positions 524 to 776 of the family's 1533-position model. The record is from RNAcentral.
UACGUAGGGACCAAGCGUUGUUCGGAUUUACUGGGCGUAAAGCGUACGCAGACGGUGAGAAAGGUCGGAUGUGAAAGCCCCGGGCUCAACCCGGGAACUGCAUCCGAAACCAUCUCGCUCGAGUGUGGGAGAGGGAAGCGGAAUUCCUGGUGUAGAGGUGAAAUUCGUAGAUAUCAGGAGGAACACCGGCGGCGAAGGCGGCUUCCUGGCCCAUUACUGACGUUCAGGUACGAAAGCGUGGGUAGCAAACAGG